Molecule: ribosomal RNA, 738 nt
Filed under: uncultured organism
Description: bacterial SSU rRNA
Rfam family: Bacterial small subunit ribosomal RNA
Source: RNAcentral
AGCGGCGCGCUUAAUGCAUGCAAGUCGAGCGAUGAGACUCCUACGGGAGCACAUCAGCGGCAGACGGGUGAGUAACACGUAGAUGACGUACCCUCAAGACGGGGAUAACGGAUGGAAACAUGCGCUAAUACCGGAUGACCUUACGAUGUCAGAAUGGUAAGGAAAGCUACGGCGCUUGAGGAGCGGUCUGCGGCCCAUCAGCUAGUUGGUAGGGUAAAGGCCUACCAAGGCGAAGACGGGUAGGGGGUGUGAGAGCACGGCCCCCCACAAUGGGACUGAGACACGGCCCAUACUCCUACGGGAGGCAGCAGCAGGGAAUAUUGCACAAUGGACGGAAGUCUGACGCAGCGACGCCGCGUGAGUGAAGAAGGCCUUCGGGUUGUAAAACUCUUUUGAGGGGGAAGAGCGAGGACGGUACCCCUGGAAUAAGCGUCGGCUAACUACGUGCCAGCAGCCGCGGUAAGACGUAGGACGCGAGCGUUAUCCGGAUUUACUGGGCGUAAAGCGUCUGUAGGCGGAUCUGUAAGUCGGGUGUGAAAGCUCUGGGCUCAACCCGGGAAGUGCGCCCGAUACCGUUGGUCUUGAGUGCUCGUCAGGGGAGCGCGGAAUUCCCGGUGUAGAGGUGAAAUGCGCAGAUAUCGGGAAGAACACCGGUGGCGGAGGGGGCGCUCUGGAUGGAUACUGACGCUGAGACACGAAAGCGUGGGGAGCGAACAGGAUUAGGUACCCUGGUAGUCC